Molecule: unclassified non-coding RNA, 379 nt
Filed under: soil metagenome
Description: partial contains 5.8S ribosomal RNA, internal transcribed spacer 2, and large subunit ribosomal RNA
Rfam family: 5.8S ribosomal RNA (bases 1-120)
Source: RNAcentral
GAUGAAGAACGCAGCGAAAUGCGAUAAGUAAUGUGAAUUGCAGAAUUCAGUGAAUCAUCGAAUCUUUGAACGCACCUUGCACCCUUUGGCAUUCCGAAGGGUAUGCUCGUUUGAGUGUCAUUGUACUCUCACACUUCCAAUCUUUGGAUUGGGAGCAGUGGACUUGGGUGUUGCUGCUUACUGUGGCUCACCUCAACUCGAUUCGUGCACCUCUUGGUUGGACAUAGUACGGCGUGAUAAGUGUCUUCGCCGGCACCUCAGUAGAGGGUGGCUGAUCAGGAGCUCUGUGCUUCAAACCGUCCUCGGACAACAACUGACAACUUGACCUCAAAUCGAGUAGGACUACCCGCUGAACUUAAGCAUAUCAAUAAGCGGAGGA